This 286-nucleotide signal recognition particle RNA is filed under the name Neogale vison (American mink). RNAcentral describes it as "Neovison vison (American mink) Metazoan signal recognition particle RNA (ENSNVIG00000021631.1)". It matches the Rfam family "Metazoan signal recognition particle RNA". Rfam says of the family: The signal recognition particle (SRP) is a universally conserved ribonucleoprotein. It is involved in the co-translational targeting of proteins to membranes. Lineage: Eukaryota; Metazoa; Chordata; Mammalia; Carnivora; Mustelidae. The record is from RNAcentral.
GCCGGGCGCGGUGGCGCGCGCCUGUAGUCCCCGCUACUCCGGAGGCGGAGGCAGGAGGAUCGCUUGAGCCCAGGAGUUCUGGGCUGUAGUGCGCUAUGCCGAUCGGGUGUCCGCACUAAGUUUGGCAUCAAUAUGGUGACCUCCCGGGAGCGGGGGACCCCCAGGUUGCCUAAGGAGGGGUGAACGGGCCCAGGUCGGAAACGGAGCAGGUCAGAAUAUGUUUUCACUCAUUUUUAUUGGCGUGUGCAGAUAUUCCUUAGAAUACCUGAUUUCCAUAAGAAGGAAA